AUUGAACGCUGGCGGCAUGCCUUACACAUGCAAGUCGAACGGUAACAGGUCUUCGGAUGCUGACGAGUGGCGAACGGGUGAGUAAUACAUCGGAACGUGCCCGAUCGUGGGGGAUAACGGAGCGAAAGCUUUGCUAAUACCGCAUACGAUCUACGGAUGAAAGCAGGGGACCGCAAGGCCUUGCGCGGACGGAGCGGCCGAUGGCAGAUUAGGUAGUUGGUGGGAUAAAAGCUUACCAAGCCGACGAUCUGUAGCUGGUCUGAGAGGACGACCAGCCACACUGGGACUGAGACACGGCCCAGACUCCUACGGGAGGCAGCAGUGGGGAAUUUUGGACAAUGGGCGAAAGCCUGAUCCAGCCAUGCCGCGUGCAGGAUGAAGGCCUUCGGGUUGUAAACUGCUUUUGUACGGAACGAAAAGACUCUUUCUAAUAAAGAGGGUCCAUAACGGUACCGUAAGAAUAAGCACCGGCUAACUACGUG
Molecule: ribosomal RNA, 482 nt
Filed under: uncultured bacterium
Lineage: Bacteria
Description: partial 16S ribosomal RNA
Rfam family: Bacterial small subunit ribosomal RNA
Source: RNAcentral